UAACUAUUUGCCUCUUUCUAGUAUUCCUCUUCCUGGAACAGGAGCCAAGACAUAUUUAGAGGGGUCUAAAGUUUCUUGGUAAAGUUUACGAUUCUAGCACAAAUCGAGAAGUUGUGUGUAUUGCAUGCAUUUCUUUUUUCUGGCACAUGGCUUAAUCGUUACACUCUGUGAGUCCUCAAGGACCCUCGCAGUUUCAACAUUUUGCGAAAUAUUCUCAAGCUUUAUGGCACCUUGGAAGAAACAAAAGCUUUACAGAGAAAAGGCUGGCUUGGCAGAGGGACCGGCUCCCUCCUCAAAUUACGGUUCUAUGUUCUGAAGCUUUGUUGGAUCCACAGUCGUGCAAACCUUCCACUCUUUCCCUCUCUUGGAGGAUCAAAUUUACAGUUCUCUUCUGGCUGUUCUUCAUGAUGGAGAAGAGCAAAGGCAAAGGCAAAGAAAUCGGAGAAAAACAUGGUUGAACUUUUCUUAACCCAGAAGUUAUUGCAGCUUUUACAUGAAAUUUCAAGCCAGAACUUCCAUGGGCGAGGCCGACUGCCUAUGCCUAGGAAAGCUCCCCGGACAGGAGUCUCCUCCACUGAGGUUCUGGUGGAAGGUGGCCAUUUCAAAUGAUGUCCAGGAAAUCUGACAUUGGGGCUCAGGCUCUGGCCUCAGCACCCCAUUAAUUAGUCUAACGUUCAUGGGUGUGACAGAGGCAGAAAAUAAAUCGUGUCUUUCAGUAGACCAGUGUUCUGCUGCUCUUGGAAUAGCAUUUUUCAUGGCGGUUUUGGGGAAGGAGAUGUGUGGGAAGACCCAUUGCAAAAAUAGCUACAGUCCUUAAACCCAUAGAGUUGGAAAGCAGAUUAGUGUUUGUCUUGGACUGGGGGUAUGGGGGAAAUUGGAGGGAAAUAGGAAGUGAUUGCUAAUGGGUAUGGAGUUUCUUUCUGGGGUUAAGAAAAUAUUCUAAAAUUGAUUGUGGUGAUGGAUGCACAACUCUGUGAAUAUACCAAAAACCAUUAAAUUGUACCCUUUAAAUGGGGGAAUUCUAUGGUAUGUGAAUUAUAUCCCAAUUUAAGCUGUUACAUUGAAAAGAAAAUAACCACAAUCCUUCAGUCUUUCUGUAUCUGUGCCUUUGCAUUGUGACUUUGCAGUUCUUCCCAUCUCUUUCCCCACCUGUUGACUCUGGGACACCUGAUGACUUUUGUUGGCCCAUGGGGUAUGGCCAAAGUGACCAUAUGCCAGUUUGGAACCUUAGUUCUUCAGAGGCCUUGCAUGCUCCUGCUAGCUCUCUUAUUUUGCUGUCUUUACUCUGAAAACUAGCCUGGGCUAGCCUGCUGGAAGAUGAGAGACCUGUGUAGCAAAGCUGAGUCAUCCCAGCUAUGUCCACCAUAGCCCACCUGUUAGUUGCCUUCAGAUACAAGAGAAAAAAUGGUUGCUGUUUUAUGCUAAGCACUGGGGCUAUUCUUUCUGCAGCAAUGGCUGACUGAUACAUAUGGCAAUCUCUCUGAGAUUCUAGAAAUGUAGGAGAAGAGUAUGCACAGCUUACUCUGGUUACCCACAAGGCCAAUAAUUUUGCUCAUAUUUUCAGUCUCUGACCAGAACUUUCCAAUGCUUUCAUUUUUCCUAUGAAACCUUCUUUCCUCUCCAUAGUAG
RNAcentral lists this long non-coding RNA (1629 nucleotides) under Homo sapiens (human). RNAcentral describes it as "HSALNT0169999". The record is from RNAcentral. Lineage: Eukaryota; Metazoa; Chordata; Mammalia; Primates; Hominidae.